GGGGGCGAAAGGCUUCGACUUAAGAAGCAAGUUAAGGGUUGCAUGCCGAGGGUGUCAGGUGGCCUCGAUAAAACCUGACAACAAAGUUAAACGCGAAUGAACUCGCGCUAGCUGCUUAAUUAAGCAGCACGUCCUCCGGUUUUGCCUGCGAAGCCGGAUGUGACGCCGCAGCAGGCUGGCCCCGUUUCUUUCGCCUUUAAGGGACGGGGUAAGAGAGUUAAAGGCUAGUCCUUUCGGCAGCGGGCCUGCUUACGCGGCCGUAAAGGAUGAAUGACAAAUUGCAGGAAACGCAUGUAGGAGCUCUUAUCAAGUGACUUAAGGACCGGGGUUCGAAUCCCCGCGCCUCCACCA
Molecule: transfer-messenger RNA, 351 nt
Filed under: Candidatus Omnitrophota
Lineage: Bacteria; Pseudomonadati
Also listed under: 3 other names
Description: Pluralincolimonas sp001805885 Standard tmRNA
Rfam family: transfer-messenger RNA
About the family: Bacterial tmRNA, also known as 10Sa RNA or SsrA, is named for its dual tRNA and mRNA-like properties. Its role is to liberate the mRNA from a stalled ribosome.
Source: RNAcentral